This 346-nucleotide ribosomal RNA is filed under the name uncultured bacterium. Its description in RNAcentral is "bacterial SSU rRNA". It matches the Rfam family "Bacterial small subunit ribosomal RNA", at positions 8 to 350 of the family's 1533-position model. The record is from RNAcentral.
AGAGUUUGAUCAUGGCUCAGGACGAACGCUGGCGGCACGCUUAACACAUGCAAGUCGAACGAGAGAAGAGAAGCUUGCUUUUCUGAUCUAGUGGCGGACGGGUGAGUAACACGUGAGCAAUCUGCCUUUCAGAGGGGGAUACCGAUUGGAAACGAUCGUUAAUACCGCAUAACAUAAUUGAACCGCAUGAUUUGAUUAUCAAAGAUUUAUCGCUGAAAGAUGAGCUCGCGUCUGAUUAGCUAGUUGGUAAGGUAACGGCUUACCAAGGCGACGAUCAGUAGCCGGACUGAGAGGUUGAUCGGCCACAUUGGGACUGGAGACACGGCCCAGGACUCCGUAGGGAGCA